Molecule: non-coding RNA, 72 nt
Organism: Capra hircus (goat)
Lineage: Eukaryota; Metazoa; Chordata; Mammalia; Artiodactyla; Bovidae
Source: the annotation of a RefSeq genome assembly
UCCCUAGUGGCUCAGACGGUAAAGUGUCUGUCUGCAACACAGGAGACCCAGGUUCGAUCCCUGGGUUGGGAA